UAAAAACCCCGACUUCGGAAGGGGUGUAUUUAUUAGAUACAAAACCAAUGCCCUUCGGGGCUCUUUGGUGAUUCAUGAUAACUAUACGAAUCGCACGGCCUUGCGCCGGCGAUGGUUCAUUCAAAUUUCUUCCCUAUCAACUUUCGAUGUUUGGGUAUUGGCCAAACAUGGUUGCAACGGGUAACGGAGGGUUAGGGCUCGACCCCGGAGAAGGAGCCUGAGAAACGGCUACUACAUCCAAGGAAGGCAGCAGGCGCGCAAAUUACCCAAUCCCGACUCGGGGAGGUAGUGACAAUAAAUACUGAUACAGGGCCCUUUCGGGCCUUGUAAUUGGAUGAGUACAAUUUAAAUCCCUUAACGAGGAACAAUUGGAGGGCAAGUCUGGUGCCAGCAGCCGCGGUAAUUCCAGCUCCAAUAGCGUAUAUUAAAGUUGUUGUGGUUAAAAAGCUCGUAAUUGAACCUUGGGCCUGGCUGGGCGGUCCGCCUCACCGCGUGCACUGGUCCGGCCGGGCCUUUCCCUCUGUGGAACCCCAUACCCUUCACUGGGCGUGGCGGGGAAACAGGACAUUUACUUUG
Molecule: ribosomal RNA, 576 nt
Filed under: uncultured eukaryote
Lineage: Eukaryota
Description: SSU rRNA
Rfam family: Eukaryotic small subunit ribosomal RNA
Source: RNAcentral